Molecule: ribosomal RNA, 483 nt
Filed under: uncultured bacterium
Lineage: Bacteria
Description: partial 16S ribosomal RNA
Rfam family: Bacterial small subunit ribosomal RNA
Source: RNAcentral
UUGAACGCUGGCGGCAGGCCUAACACAUGCAAGUCGAGCGGAUGAAGGGAGCUUGCUCCUGGAUUCAGCGGCGGACGGGUGAGUAAUGCCUAGGAAUCUGCCUGGUAGUGGGGGAUAACGUCCGGAAACGGGCGCUAAUACCGCAUACGUCCUGAGGGAGAAAGUGGGGGAUCUUCGGACCUCACGCUAUCAGAUGAGCCUAGGUCGGAUUAGCUAGUUGGUGGGGUAAAGGCCUACCAAGGCGACGAUCCGUAACUGGUCUGAGAGGAUGAUCAGUCACACUGGAAAUGAGACACGGUCCAGACUCCUACGGGAGGCAGCAGUGGGGAAUAUUGGACAAUGGGCGAAAGCCUGAUCCAGCCAUGCCGCGUGUGUGAAGAAGAUCUUCGGAUUGUAAAGCACUUUAAGUUGGGAGGAAGGGCAGUAAGUUAAUACCUUGCUGUUUUGACGUUACCAACAGAAUAAGCACCGGCUAACUUCGUG